RNAcentral lists this ribosomal RNA (500 nucleotides) under uncultured bacterium. RNAcentral's name for it is "bacterial SSU rRNA". It matches the Rfam family "Bacterial small subunit ribosomal RNA", at positions 1030 to 1529 of the family's 1533-position model. The record is from RNAcentral.
AGUGACAGGUGGUGCAUGGUUGUCGUCAGCUCGUGUCGUGAGAUGUUGGGUUAAGUCCCGCAACGAGCGCAACCCUUAAGCUUAGUUGCCAGCAUUAAGUUGGGCACUCUAAGUUGACUGCCGGUGACAAACCGGAGGAAGGUGGGGAUGACGUCAAAUCAUCAUGCCCCUUAUGAUUUGGGCUACACACGUGCUACAAUGGACAAUACAAAGGGCAGCUAAACCGCGAGGUCAUGCAAAUCCCAUAAAGUUGUUCUCAGUUCGGAUUGUAGUCUGCAACUCGACUACAUGAAGCUGGAAUCGCUAGUAAUCGUAGAUCAGCAUGCUACGGUGAAUACGUUCCCGGGUCUUGUACACACCGCCCGUCACACCACGAGAGUCUGUAACACCCGAAGCCGGUGGAGUAACCAUUUAUGGAGCUAGCCGUCGAAGGUGGGACAAAUGAUUGGGGUGAAGUCGUAACAAGGUAGCCGUAUCGGAAGGUGCGGCUGGAUCACCUC